CCUGGUAGUGGGGGACAACGUUUCGAAAGGAACGCUAAUACCGCAUACGUCCUACGGGAGAAAGCAGGGGACCUUCGGGCCUUGCGCUAUCAGAUGAGCCUAGGUCGGAUUAGCUAGUUGGUGAGGUAAUGGCUCACCAAGGCGACGAUCCGUAACUGGUCUGAGAGGAUGAUCAGUCACACUGGAACUGAGACACGGUCCAGACUCCUACGGGAGGCAGCAGUGGGGAAUAUUGGACAAUGGGCGAAAGCCUGAUCCAGCCAUGCCGCGUGUGUGAAGAAGGUCUUCGGAUUGUAAAGCACUUUAAGUUGGGAGGAAGGGUUGUAGAUUAAUACUCUGCAAUUUUGACGUUACCGACAGAAUAAGCACCGGCUAACUCUGUGCCAGCAGCCGCGGUAAUACAGAGGGUGCAAGCGUUAAUCGGAAUUACUGGGCGUAAAGCGCGCGUAG
Molecule: ribosomal RNA, 450 nt
Filed under: Pseudomonas sp. SCN122
Lineage: Bacteria; Pseudomonadati; Pseudomonadota; Gammaproteobacteria; Pseudomonadales; Pseudomonadaceae
Description: bacterial SSU rRNA
Rfam family: Bacterial small subunit ribosomal RNA
Source: RNAcentral